Molecule: long non-coding RNA, 255 nt
Organism: Sitophilus oryzae (rice weevil)
Lineage: Eukaryota; Metazoa; Arthropoda; Insecta; Coleoptera; Curculionidae
Exons: 2
Source: RefSeq, a predicted model, not a curated record
AUAUGUUUAUUUUUUAUAUACUUGUAUUUAUUUUGGAUUUUAAAACUAACAAAUCUUAAUAAAACAAUUUCUCCUUAAAUUAUUUGGAGAAAUCUACUUGUUCGUUAAAAUGGCAACCGACGAAAAUUUUGAAACGUUUGAAGAAGACGAUGCUGCUGAUACAUCGGUAGCAUUAAGUACAGCAGGCAGAAAGAGGCUUUUUAGUAAAGAAUUGAGGUGCAUGAUGUAUGGCUUUGGAGAUGAUCAAAACCCUUA